This 474-nucleotide ribosomal RNA is filed under the name uncultured bacterium. Its description in RNAcentral is "SSU rRNA". It matches the Rfam family "Bacterial small subunit ribosomal RNA", at positions 26 to 518 of the family's 1533-position model. The record is from RNAcentral.
AGGAUAAACGCUGGCGGCGUGCAUGAGACAUGCAAGUCGAACGGACGAUCAGGGCUUGCUCUGAUCGUUAGUGGCGGACGGCUGAGUAACGCGUAGGUGACCUGCCCCGAAGUGGGGAAUAACUGCCCGAAAGGGUGGCUAAUACCGCAUGUGGUGGUGCCUUCACUGGCAUCAGUAAAGCCGCAAGGCGCUUCGGGAGGGGCCUGCGUCCGAUUAGCUCGUUGGUGGGGUAACGGCUCACCAAGGCGACGAUCGGUAGGUGGUCUGAGAGGACGAUCACCCAGACUGGGACUGAGACACGGCCCAGACUCCUACGGGAGGCAGCAGUCGGGAAUUUUUGCGCAAUGGACGAAAGUCUGACGCAGCAACGCCGCGUGAGGGAUGACGGCCUUCGGGUUGUAAACCUCUUUUGUCAGGGACGAUGAUGACGGUACCUGACGAAUAAGUCACGGCUAACUACGUGCCAGCAGCCGC